GACGAACGCUGGCGGCGUGCUUAACACAUGCAAGUCGAACGAUGAAGCCUAGCUUGCUAGGUGGAUUAGUGGCGAACGGGUGAGUAAUACGUGAGUGACCUACCUUUGACUCUGGGAUAAGCCUGGGAAACUGGGUCUAAUACCGGAUACGACCAAUCUCCGCAUGGGGUGUUGGUGGAAAGCGUUAUGGAGUGGUUUUAGAUGGGCUCACGGCCUAUCAGCUUGUUGGUGAGGUAAUGGCUUACCAAGGCGACGACGGGUAGCCGGCCUGAGAGGGUGACCGGCCACACUGGGACUGAGACACGGCCCAGACCCCUACGGGAGGCAGCAGUGGGGAAUAUUGCACAAUGGGCGCAAGCCUGAUGCAGCGACGCCGCGUGAGGGAUGACGGCCUUCGGGUUGUAAACCUCUGUUAGCAUCGAAGAAGCGAAAGUGACGUAGUGCAGAG
This 448-nucleotide ribosomal RNA is filed under the name Rothia dentocariosa. Its description in RNAcentral is "bacterial SSU rRNA". It matches the Rfam family "Bacterial small subunit ribosomal RNA", at positions 28 to 486 of the family's 1533-position model. The record is from RNAcentral. Lineage: Bacteria; Bacillati; Actinomycetota; Actinomycetes; Micrococcales; Micrococcaceae.